GAUUUGCAUUGUCCUCAAAAAUUGAGAAUGACUUCCUCUUUCAAAGAGAAACUGAGCUCUGAACCAAUAUCAGAAACUUCAAAAAAGCAUAUUUAAAAUACAAUUAAAGAGAAAUUAGCCCUCUUUAUUUUCAACAAAAAAUUUAUAAAAGACUACCAAAAAUGCCUUUUACAUGAUGAAAUCUAUAAAUAACUCGACCAAAUAUUAUGCCCAAAUUCCGAGUAACAAUUGUAAUUCUCAUCUAUAUCCAUCCGGCUCACCAAAACAAUAAUCGAUCAUCAACAACCCUACUUCCUAGAAUUAUUCUCUUCCCAAAAAUGGGAAAAGGAAAAUGGAAACCAAAAGGGGCAACUUAGAUAGUAUGUUAUUUUGCACAUAGCUAAGAUGAAAAAUGAUCAAUUUUUUCCGAGCCAAAGCUGCAGCAAUCCC
This 429-nucleotide long non-coding RNA is filed under the name Actinidia chinensis (golden kiwifruit). RNAcentral's name for it is "long non-coding RNA (ACHI_LNC004109)". Lineage: Eukaryota; Viridiplantae; Streptophyta; Magnoliopsida; Ericales; Actinidiaceae. The record is from RNAcentral.